Molecule: long non-coding RNA, 502 nt
Organism: Mastomys coucha (southern multimammate mouse)
Lineage: Eukaryota; Metazoa; Chordata; Mammalia; Rodentia; Muridae
Exons: 2
Source: RefSeq, a predicted model, not a curated record
CUUUGGAAACAGGCAGGCGAUGGCCGUUGGAACCAGGAGAGAAGAGAAUCCUUGAAGGAGACCCUGUAACCCUCCUGAAUGAAGUCCAUAACCAUAGACGGAUGGCACAUCAUUUUAGCAUUACACCACUUUUACUGGUGUAAAACCUGGUGAAGGUUCUACAGUGACACCUUCAGCAGGACAUAAAGUCCAAAGCUGUGUAUCUUCACAGUUCUUCUUGGCUGCCCUGCUUUCCUCCAGCUGCUCGGUAGACAUCAUCUCAGGAGGCUCAACCGCAGCUGGCCCACCAUGACUGUGCAGCAGAGAGCAACAGUCCCGGAAGUGUGAAAAGUACAGAGGUCUUAAGUGGUUAUGUGAAGGACUACACAUAAUCAGAAAACAAUCAUCUGUCCUCCUGCAGUCAGACAACAGUUUUGUUUGCUUAUAUACAUAUAUAAUUAAAUAAUAUGCUUAUGCAAAUGUGUAAUAAAAACACUCUGCCUGAUGCUAUGCACUCAUAAUA